GUGGGGAAUAUUGCACAAUGGGCGCAAGCCUGAUGCAGCGACGCCGCGUGAGGGAUGGAGGCCUUCGGGUUGUAAACCUCUUUUGAUUGGGAGCAAGCGCAAGUGAGUGUACCUUUCGAAUAAGCGCCGGCUAACUACGUGCCAGCAGCCGCGGUAAUACGUAGGGCGCAAGCGUUAUCCGGAUUUAUUGGGCGUAAAGGGCUCGUAGGCGGCUUGUCGCGUCCGGUGUGAAAGUCCAUCGCUCAACGGUGGAUUUGCGCCGGGUACGGGCAGGCUAGAAUGCGGCAGGGGAGACUGGAAUUCCCGGUGUAACGGUGGAAUGUGUAGAUAUCGGGAAGAACACCAAUGGCGAAGGCAGGUCUCUGGGCCGUUAUUGACGCUGAUGAGCGAAAGCGUGGGGAGCGAACAGGAUUAGAAACCCGUGUAGUCC
This 430-nucleotide ribosomal RNA is filed under the name uncultured bacterium. RNAcentral describes it as "bacterial SSU rRNA". It matches the Rfam family "Bacterial small subunit ribosomal RNA", at positions 354 to 796 of the family's 1533-position model. The record is from RNAcentral.